UCCCGCGGCACGCGAAAACAGAGCUAUUUUGGGCUGUUUUGGGGCUGUUUUGCUCGGUUCGGUGAACGGUCGCUUUGCAACGCUGCAGCUUGUUCGAACUUACAUAUUUACAAGCAAAAUGACCCAAAACCAUAAGAAAACAUGCUGCCAAGCAGCUGUACAUGCGGGUGUGAGCGACGAACGAUUCGUUGAACGGAGUUGUUGCGGGUGCGCGACGACCGUUCGUGACAGA
Molecule: long non-coding RNA, 232 nt
Filed under: Musa acuminata (dwarf banana)
Lineage: Eukaryota; Viridiplantae; Streptophyta; Magnoliopsida; Zingiberales; Musaceae
Description: long non-coding RNA (MACU_LNC004697)
Source: RNAcentral